CCCCCCCCCCUCUGCAGAUUUUUCUUCGUUUCGCCGCCUCCCGUGCCCUAGAACGACACCCAGAUCUCACCGGAGUUCGCCGCCGUCUGAAGCUUCUGUCGGUCGAUUGCAUCACCUCUGGAGGUUCCUAGCUUCUCCUCUUGCUUCCCCUUGGUCUCAUCACUAUACCACACCUAUUAGUUCUCGCAGGGAAGCAAACACUCGAGUGCUUCGAGCUCGCCCCAGCGAACACCCCACCACCCGAGCUCCAGCCACCCUCUGUCGUCGUCCCCGCUCGCCACCGACGCCGCUGAGGACGUCGUCGAGACCGCAGUAGAGCUCCGCGCCUCGUACGCUACCCGUCGGAUUUUGGAGACCACCGGAGCAGCCACGACCAUCGCCACCCGAGCCACCGUGCCGCCGUUUUGUACAAGUCCGACUGCCCUGCCCUUGUUUCUCCGGAUUUUCAGAUGACCAAUGAGAUACAGUAGGGUCGCGAAUCUUCACUCAGCAUUUUCACCAGCGGGCAUUGAUGGGACUCAUCGUCUAUUAUGCUACAUUUCCGCUGUUAUUAUUGAAUAAAGCUAGCCCCUGCUGCUAUACAUACUGGACCAAUUACUAGAGCUCGUGCACGCCAACUAAAUUACCAGGUACUUUCGUUUCUUGGUAAUGAUUCUAAUGUUC
Triticum aestivum (bread wheat) is the source of this 663-nucleotide long non-coding RNA. RefSeq lists it as uncharacterized. The transcript is spliced from 3 exons. NCBI's taxonomy places the organism in Eukaryota, Viridiplantae, Streptophyta, Magnoliopsida, Poales, Poaceae. The record is from RefSeq and is a predicted model, not a curated record.